UGAUGUGAAACUGAAGAUCUAAAUAAAGAAGAAGGAAGCGAUAAAAAUCGUUUCAACAUACGUUUGAAAAAAUUCUUCUUUGGAACUAUUUGUGUUGAUCAAAAGAAAUUGCAAAGCCACACACAAAAACCUAUUUAGUGAUUGUCGAUAUACUAUUCCCUUCCGUUUUAGCAAAGCGGAAUAAAAACUCAGGUAGGCUAAUGAUACGGAAUAUGCAUUUCUUAAUGAAUAAGGGGAACCUAAAAUCGUCAGAGUUCAAGUAUGUGACAUUAUCAGUUUA
Molecule: non-coding RNA, 280 nt
Organism: Schizosaccharomyces pombe (fission yeast)
Lineage: Eukaryota; Fungi; Ascomycota; Schizosaccharomycetes; Schizosaccharomycetales; Schizosaccharomycetaceae
Source: the annotation of a GenBank genome assembly